UCAACCAUGUUUAAUCCCCAACAUUACAUACGGUCAAAGCCAGCACAAUGGGAAGAAGCUUCAAUGAUGAAGACUCACUUCAGUAAUGAUCCUUCCGCAGGUUCACCUACGGAAA
Molecule: unclassified non-coding RNA, 115 nt
Filed under: uncultured fungus
Lineage: Eukaryota; Fungi
Description: sequence contains ITS1, 5.8S rRNA gene
Source: RNAcentral